Molecule: ribosomal RNA, 492 nt
Filed under: uncultured bacterium
Lineage: Bacteria
Description: partial 16S ribosomal RNA
Rfam family: Bacterial small subunit ribosomal RNA
Source: RNAcentral
AGUGAACGCUGGCGGUAGGCCUAACACAUGCAAGUCGAACGGCAGCACAGUAAGAGCUUGCUCUUACGGGUGGCGAGUGGCGGACGGGUGAGGAAUACAUCGGAAUCUACUUUUUCGUGGGGGAUAACGUAGGGAAACUUACGCUAAUACCGCAUACGACCUACGGGUGAAAGCAGGGGAUCUUCGGACCUUGCGCGAUUGAAUGAGCCGAUGUCGGAUUAGCUAGUUGGCGGGGUAAAGGCCCACCAAGGCGACGAUCCGUAGCUGGUCUGAGAGGAUGAUCCGCCACACUGGAACUGAGAAACGGUCCAGACCCCUACGGGAGGGAGCAGUGGGGAAUAUUGGACAAUGGGCGCAAGCCUGAUCCAGCCAUACCGCGUGGGUGAAGAAGGCCUUCGGGUUGUAAAGCCCUUUUGUUGGGAAAGAAAAGCAGCAGGUUAAUACCCCGCUGUUCUGACGGUACCCAAAGAAUAAGCACCGGCUAACUUCGUG